AGGGUGUAAACGCUGCAGACUUGGUGUUGGGAACCCUUCGGGGGUGCUCAGUGCCGGAGAGAAGUUGUUAAGUCUGCUACUUGGGAGUACGUCCGCAAGGAUGAAACUUAAAGGAAUUGGCGGGGGAGCACCGCAACGGGAGGAGCGUGCGGUUUAAUUGGAUUCAACGCCGAAAAACUCACCAGCAGCGACUGUUACAUGAAAGUCAGGUUGAUGACCUUACUAGAUUUUCAGAGAGGAGGUGCAUGGCGUCAGUGACU
This 260-nucleotide ribosomal RNA is filed under the name uncultured archaeon. RNAcentral describes it as "partial 16S ribosomal RNA". It matches the Rfam family "Archaeal small subunit ribosomal RNA", at positions 748 to 1008 of the family's 1478-position model. The record is from RNAcentral.